UUGGGGGAGGGCUCCGGGUCCCCCCCCUUUCCCUGAGGGGCAUUUUUGGGGGGCUUCAGAUCCCCCCCCCUCCUUGGGGGGCAUUUUUGGGUAACUGCAGCCCCCCCCUAUAGAUGGCACUGCCCCAUUCGGAGCCCCCCCCGCACCCCCACCCCCCCCGGCGCCGCUUUUCCCUUUGGGUUUUCCAGUUGUGCCUUAACCGGGGAGCAGCGCUCAGUGGGACACCAAUGGGACCCCCCGUGUGACACCGAGGGGACACCAAUGGGACCCCAAUGGGACACCGGGACCCCCAGUGUGACACCAAUGGGACCCCAGUGAGACCCCCUGUGUGACACCAAGGGGACACCAAUGGGACACCAACGGGACCCCAGUGAGACCCCCAGUGUGACACCAAUGGGACCCCAAUGGGACCCCCCGUGUGACUCCAAUGGGACACCAACGGGACACCAAUGGGACACCGGGACCCCCAGUGUGACACCAAUGGGACCCCAGUGAGACCCCCAGUGGGACACCGAGGGGACCCCAAUGGGACCCCAGUGUGACUCCAAGGGGACACCAAUGGUUCCCCCAGUGUGACACCGAGGAGACACCAAUGGAACACCAAGAAGACACCAAUGGGACCCCCAGUGUGACACCAGUGGGACACCAAUGGGACACCAAUGGGACACCAAUGGGACACUGGGACCCAAAGUGUGACACCGAGAGGACCCCCAGUGUGACACCAAUGGGACACCAAUGGGACACUGAGGGGACACCAAUGGGACCCACAGCGCCCCAAUGUGACACUGAGGGGACAGUGGGACCCCCAGCACUUUGAGGUGACCCCAAAGGGACCCCCAAUGUGACACUGAGGGGACACCAAUGGGACCCACUGUGCCCCAAUGUGACACUGGGGGAGCAGUGGGACCCCCGGCACUCUGAUGUGACCCCGAGGGGACCCCCAGUGUGACACUGAGGGGACCCACUGUGCCUCAAUGUGACCCCGAGGGGACCCCCAAUGUGACACUGUGGGGACAGUGGGACCCCCCAGCAGUUCGCGGUGACCCCGAGGGGACCCCCAAUGUGACACUGAGGGGACAGCGGGACCCACAGCGCCCCAAUGUGACACUGGGGGGACAGUGGGACCCCCACCACUCUGAUGUGACACUGAGGGGACCCCCAGUGUGACACUGAGGGGACAGUGGGACCCCCCACCACUUCGAGGUGACCCGGAGGGGACCCCCACCACUCUGAUGUGACCCCGAGGGGACCCCCGAUGUGACACUGAGGGGACAGUGGGACCCCCAGCACUCUGAUGUGACCCCGAGUGGCCCCACACGGCUCCAUGGGACCCCACUGUGGGGCAGUGGUGGUUAUGCGGGGGGGUCGGGGGCUGCUGCCCCCCCCCACAGCCGCCCCCUGCAGAGCUGUCCCCCCCCCC
Molecule: long non-coding RNA, 1420 nt
Filed under: Gallus gallus (chicken)
Lineage: Eukaryota; Metazoa; Chordata; Aves; Galliformes; Phasianidae
Source: RNAcentral